This 251-nucleotide ribosomal RNA is filed under the name uncultured bacterium. RNAcentral's name for it is "partial 16S ribosomal RNA". It matches the Rfam family "Bacterial small subunit ribosomal RNA", at positions 103 to 354 of the family's 1533-position model. The record is from RNAcentral.
CGGGUGAGUAACGCGUGAGGAACCUGCCUCAGAGAGGGGGAUAACACACCGAAAGGUGUGCUAAUACCGCAUAACAUAUGAGAGGGGCAUCCCUUUUAUAUCAAAGGUUUAUUGCUCUGAGAUGGCCUCGCGUCCAAUUAGCUAGUUGGUGAGGUAACGGCCCACUAAGGCGACGAUUGGUAGCCGGACUGAGAGGUUGAACGGCCACAUUGGGACUGAGACACGGCCCAGACUCCUACGGAAGGCAGCAG